This 378-nucleotide unclassified non-coding RNA is filed under the name fungal sp. Its description in RNAcentral is "partial internal transcribed spacer region". The stretch from base 1 to 46 matches the Rfam family "Eukaryotic small subunit ribosomal RNA", at positions 1786 to 1831 of the family's 1831-position model. Lineage: Eukaryota; Fungi. The record is from RNAcentral.
AAGUCGUAACAAGGUUUCCGUAGAUGAACCUGCGGAAGGAUCAUUAACACGUAUCCAAACGUUAAACCCCCCUGUGAACCUUCAGUGUACUCGUACAAUCCCUGGUAAAUCAUCGCCGAACAGUUUUCGAUUCAGGGACGUCUGCAAGGAGCGUGCAUGUUGUGCGAGCAAGUGGCCUGGCAUCCCCAAGCAGUUAGUGUCUGAAAGUGUCAUUAACUGUGUAAGGAUGACGCAGUCACGAUCGUUGGAGGCCCACACGGCCGACGACCGGGUCACUGGGCGCAAGCCCCCCUAUAACAAACGCUGCUAAGCGCGGCCGCGAUAAUACGCAGUCGACCAAAAACCGAACAACUGUUAACAAUGGAUAUCUUGGUUCUC